Molecule: ribosomal RNA, 253 nt
Filed under: uncultured bacterium
Lineage: Bacteria
Description: partial 16S ribosomal RNA
Rfam family: Bacterial small subunit ribosomal RNA
Source: RNAcentral
UACGAAGGGGGCUAGCGUUGCUCGGAAUUACUGGGCGUAAAGCGCACGCAGGUGGCUGAGAAAGUCGAUUGUGAAAGCCCUGGGCUUAACCUGGGAAUUGCAGUCGAAACUACUCGGCUAGAGUACGGAAGAGGCGAGUGGAAUUCCUGGUGUAGCGGUGAAAUGCGCAGAUAUCAGGAGGAACACCAAUUGCGAAGGCAGCUCGCUGGGACGUUACUGACGCUGAGACGCGAAAGCGUGGGGAGCAAACAGG